Molecule: ribosomal RNA, 574 nt
Filed under: uncultured rumen bacterium
Lineage: Bacteria
Description: bacterial SSU rRNA
Rfam family: Bacterial small subunit ribosomal RNA
Source: RNAcentral
GGCAGCAGCUAAGAAUAUUCCGCAAUGGGGGAAACCCUGACGGAGCGACGCCGCGUGGACGAUGGAGGCCGGAAGGUUGUAAAGUCCUCUGGCGCCCGAGGAAAGGCCCGCGCAGGGAAUGGCGCGGGGGUGACUGUAGGGCGAGAACAAGCACCGGCUAAUUACGUGCCAGCAGCUGCGGUAACACGUAAGGUGCGAGCGUUGUUCGGAAUCAUUGGGCGUAAAGGGCGCGUAGGCGGCCGAGCAAGCGGGGUGUGAAAGGCGGGGGCCCAACCCCCGGACUGCGCCCCGAACUGUUUGGCUGGAGUCGCCGUGGCGCCGGCGGAAUUCCAGGUGUAGGGGUGAAAUCUGUAGAUAUCUGGAAGAACACCGGUGGCGAAGGCGGCCGGCGAGCGGACGACUGACGCUGAGGCGCGAAGGUGCGGGGAGCGAACAGGAUUAGAUACCCUGGUAGUCCGCACAGUAAACGAUGCACACUGGGCGUCCGGGCACGAGCCUGGGCGCCGAAGCGAACGCGGGAAGUGUGCCGCCUGGGGAGUAUGCCCGCAAGGGUGAAACUCAAAGGAAUUGACGG